This 253-nucleotide ribosomal RNA is filed under the name uncultured bacterium. Its description in RNAcentral is "partial 16S ribosomal RNA". It matches the Rfam family "Bacterial small subunit ribosomal RNA", at positions 524 to 776 of the family's 1533-position model. The record is from RNAcentral.
UACGUAGGGUGCAAGCGUUGUCCGGAAUUAUUGGGCGUAAAGAGCUCGUAGGCGGUCUGUCGCGUCUGCUGUGAAAACCUGGGGCUUAACCCCGGGCCUGCAGUGGGUACGGGCAGACUAGAGUGCGGUAGGGGAGACUGGAAUUCCUGGUGUAGCGGUGAAAUGCGCAGAUAUCAGGAAGAACACCGGUGGCGAAGGCGGGUCUCUGGGCCGAUACUGACGCUGAGGAGCGAAAGCGUGGGGAGCGAACAGG